This 494-nucleotide ribosomal RNA is filed under the name uncultured bacterium. RNAcentral describes it as "partial 16S ribosomal RNA". It matches the Rfam family "Bacterial small subunit ribosomal RNA", at positions 28 to 507 of the family's 1533-position model. The record is from RNAcentral.
GACGAACGCUGGCGGCGUGCUUAACACAUGCAAGUCGAACGGUGAAGCGCCUUCCUUUUUGGUGGGUGUGGAUGAGUGGCGAACGGGUGAGUAACACGUGAGUAACCUGCCCCCUUCUUCUGGAUAACCGCAUGAAAGUGUGGCUAAUACGGGAUAUUCUGGGUCUGUCGCAUGAUGGGUCUGGGAAAGAUAUUGUUUCGGUGGGGGAUGGGCUCGCGGCCUAUCAGCUUGUUGGUGGGGUGAUGGCCUACCAAGGCGGUGACGGGUAGCCGGCCUGAGAGGGUGGACGGUCACACGGGGAGUGAGACACGGCCGAGACUCCUACGGGAGGCAGCAGUGGGGAAUAUUGCACGAUGGGCGCAAGCCUGAUGCAGCGACGCCGCGUGAGGGAUGGAGGCCUUCGGGUUGGGAACCUCUUUCGCCAGUGAAGCAGGCCUGCCUCGUUUGUGGGUGGGUUGACGGUAGCUGGAUAAGAAGCGCCGGCUAACUACGUG